GUGAGGAAUAUUGCGCAAUGGAGGCAACUCUGACGCAGCCAUGCCGCGUGCAGGAAGAAGGCGCUACGCGUUGUAAACUGCUUUUAACCGGGAAGAAACCCCAGGACGUGUCCUGGGUUGACGGUACCGGAGGAAUAAGCACCGGCUAACUUCGUGCCAGCAGCCGCGGUAAUACGAAGGGUGCAAGCGUUAUCCGGAUUCAUUGGGUUUAAAUGGUGCGUAGGCGGAGCGUUAAGUCAGUGGUGAAAUCCUGCAGCUUAACUGUAGACUUGCCAUUGAUACUGGCGCUCUUGAGUGCGCUUGAAGUGGGCGGAAUGUGCCGUGUAGCGGUGAAAUGCUUAGAUAUGGCACAGAACACCAAUUGCGAAGGCAGCUCACUAAGGCGAUACUGACGCUGAGGCACGAAAGCGUGGGGAGCAAACAGGAUUAGAAACCCGUGUAGUCC
This 445-nucleotide ribosomal RNA is filed under the name uncultured bacterium. RNAcentral's name for it is "bacterial SSU rRNA". It matches the Rfam family "Bacterial small subunit ribosomal RNA", at positions 354 to 796 of the family's 1533-position model. The record is from RNAcentral.